CGAAGGGGCUAGCGUUGCUCGGAAUCACUGGGCGUAAAGCGCACGUAGGCGGCUUUUUAAGUCAGGGGUGAAAUCCUGGAGCUCAACUCCAGAACUGCCUUUGAUACUGAGAAGCUUGAGUCCGGGAGAGGUGAGUGGAACUGCGAGUGUAGAGGUGAAAUUCGUAGAUAUUCGCAAGAACACCAGUGGCGAAGGCGGCUCACUGGCCCGGUACUGACGCUGAGGUGCGAAAGCGUGGGGAGCAAACAGGAUU
RNAcentral lists this ribosomal RNA (253 nucleotides) under uncultured bacterium. RNAcentral's name for it is "partial 16S ribosomal RNA". It matches the Rfam family "Bacterial small subunit ribosomal RNA", at positions 527 to 779 of the family's 1533-position model. The record is from RNAcentral.